Molecule: long non-coding RNA, 4435 nt
Organism: Solanum tuberosum (potato)
Lineage: Eukaryota; Viridiplantae; Streptophyta; Magnoliopsida; Solanales; Solanaceae
Exons: 2
Source: RefSeq, a predicted model, not a curated record
UGCUCAUUUUGUGCAUAAGUUAAAACUGAAGGGAAAGGGGGGCGAUACCUUCUAAGCAUUUCUGGAUUCCGGCAAACAACAGCUGUAGAUCGACCAUUCAGUUGCCGGAUCGCUCUUCUCCUUCACAUACGCAGCUUAUGCCGAAAAAACAAUCAUGGAUUCCGGCGAGAAGAUAAAAGAAACAACAGCUAUAGACCAACAAAAAACCAUGGAUUCCAGCUAGCUGAGAAAAUAGAAGAAACAACAGCUGUAACCAAAAACCAGUCAUGGAUUCCGGUGAAAAGAUAGAAGAAACAACAACGGUAGACCGAUCAGUUAGUUUCCUGAAGCUCUUUUUCUUCACAGUCUCUUUCUUAUGCCAACGGGAUCAGAUAUCCGUAACAAGUGCUCUCUCAAACAGGUAGCUUUAUCUUUGAAAUUUACUUGAUAUCUUCUCUUUUAGUAACUUUAAUUACCACGAAGGAUAUGUAUCCUAGGUUGAUUAUGGCUUAGUAAUUUUGUUUCUCUCCCAAAUUAAAAAAAUUCAUCUUGACAACUUUGAUCAAGGGAAAAUGUGAAACUUAGGUCAGUUUUUAAAGGAGAGAUUUGUUCAUUGUCAAAAUGUUUAUACACAUUCAUUUGAUAAUAAUAAUUUUGAGAUUUUGAUGCCAUUUGGUUAUAACGUGAAAGUUUCCGUAUAGUAUAAAAUUGAUAUGGAUGGUAUUAUUUAAAGACCAUAUUGUGAAUUUAUUGUUGGAAUGUUCUCUAUUAGAAACUAUGGAAUCAUCUCGUUUUAAGGAUUUUAGUCUCUUUGAAAUUAGGUCUUUGAAAUUGAAGAGGAAUUUGAUAUCAUAUAAUGAUGAUCAAGAAAUAGAUCAUUUCGUGAAAAUUGUUGUCUCCUACACUACAUUCAUUAUUUAGAGAUUUCAGAAAGUCAUCAUGUUUUUAAGUGUAGGCUUGUAACCAUGUCAUAUGUGGUUAAUACUAAGCUUAUGUUCAACAUUACAUCCGUCAAAGACAUCCAAUAUUAUACCGCAUGUUACAUGUCUUUGAUACAUGUAAUGUCGAACAUAAGCUUAGUAUUAACCAUGGAGGAUAUGUCUACAAGCCUACACUUGAGACCAUGAAGACUUCCUGAAGUUUCCAAAUGAUGAAGAUAGGGGGCAACAAUUUCCAAGGAAUGAUCAAUUUCUUCAUCAUUGUUGUAUGAUAUCGAAUUCAGUCUCUUUAAUUUUGAAGACCUAAGUUCCAUGCGACUAAAACCUUUAAAACAAGAUAAUUCGAUAGUUUCUAAUGCAGGACAACCCAACAGUAAGUUCACAAUAUGGUCAUUGGAUAACACUAUCCACUUCAAUUUUAUGCUUUUAGAGACUUUCAUGCUAUGGACACAGUAGCAUCAAAAUCCCAAAAUUAGUGUUAUCAGCGAUGAACAAGUGCAUAAACAUUCAGGCAAUGCACAAACCUCUUCGUUAGAAACUAACCGGAGUUUCAAUUUUCCACUUGUGUGCAUCCGGCUCAAGGCUAUCAAGUUGGAUUUUUUAAUUUUGGAAGAAACGGAAUAACCUAAUACAUAAUGAACAUAGGAUACAUAUCAUUCAUGGUAAUUAAAGGUACUAAAACAUAAGGUAUCAAGUAAAUUCCAGAGAUAGCGCCAUCUUUUUGAGAGAUCGCUUGUUAUGAGUGUUUGAUCAUUCAGUAUAAGAGAGCGAGGGAGAAGAGCAUCCGGCAAUUGACUGAUUUGGUCUACAGCUUUAGGUCUUGUGGACGACCGACCAAAGGAGCUCUUGGAGUUUCAAAUUAAUUAUACCGCGUGUUACUCUUUUAAGUGCCCAAUUCGUCAAAGUCUUAUGCUUCUCUUCAUUCAUUUUCAUUUCUUCCAUUUGUAAUUUAUCACUGCUCUCUCCCUCUAAUUUCUCCAUUUUCCCCUUGCUUUUACUUGGUGCGAAUAGAAAGUAUAAUACACAACAUUCUUGGAUUUACUUGGCAUGUUUUAAAUCUUGUGACGCUGCACACUCCAGCUUAUACUCUCCCUCAUUGAACUAAAAAGUAGAAAUCGAUUUUGUGUGUGUGUGUCUCUUUCUUACCUAGUUCUUUUGUUCAGAAAGUACGAGCAACUGUGGUAAAGAGCAACUUGAAUCCAAUUCAUGGGACUGUAAGGCUGGUAGACAUUCCAUUUCACAUUUGUCUGAGAGUACAAGCAACUGUAGUAAAGAGCACCUUGAAUCCAGUUCAGGAUUAGGAACUAAUGCUUUCAGUUACGCAAGAUCAUGAUUCAUGGGACUGUAAAGCUGGUAGACAUUCCAUUUAACCUUUGUCUGGCAAUUUUACUUACCUUUUUCUCCCUUUUAUAUUGUCAAUGUAACUCAAUGAUUUACUUUGAAUGUGUCAGAUAUCCAAUAGGUUCAGGUAAGGAAAAUUACUUUUUGGUGUAAAUACAUCCCACAUUUUUUUUUUUGAAAUUCAAGGCAUUCACCCUUUAAGAAAUCAUUGAAAGACUGAAUCUUUCAACUAAAAAUUUCCACUUUUAGCCUAGCUUUUUGGUAAUUAUUUCUUCCCAGUGCAUGUAUCUGUCAGCCCAUGGUUUUUCAUUGUGUUCGGUUGACUUUUUGCUAGCAAUUUAUCCCUUAGCGCUUAUGUUUGAGAAUCAAUGGAACUCAUGUUGAUUAGCCAACCCUUAUUUGAAUUCUUUUUUUGCUUGAGCGAAUACUACUCGAGAUCUGCUUAAGUUAUAGCUAGUCUGAUCAGCUUUAAUAUGUGGAUUUGUGUUGAUUCUUUUUUCAAUUUGUUUGUGGCAAUAAUAGUUGUAGUUAUCAUCCUUUGAUCAUUUUGGUGUCACGGUGAUAGAUAUAUAAUGGUACAUCUAAAUUAUCAUGUAAAUGGCAUUGAGUGUUGUUCAAAGUUAGAGGCCGGACUCUGGUAGGAGAUCAAGUGGUAAAAAUAUCAACUAAUAAUAAGAAGAAAGUUGUUGGGAGAUAAAUGACAUUCUAAAACAUGUCUCUGCAUGCCCACGGUAUCCUUCCCGAGUUUUGCAAAACUUCUAUUAUUUCUCCUAUCCUUUCUUAUGAAUUCCCAGUUUUUGAAUGAGUAGUAGCCUCUGUCUCUGGAUAGGCUUAUUCGUUUUCCAUACGUCGUUGAUAUAUUAUUCCUGAAGAGCCAAGGUGAGAACUUAUGAUGGCCAUGAAAGCCAAUGUUUUUUUUUGUUUUAAACAUCAACAGUGCAUCUUUAAAAAGGAAGUACAGAGACUGUGGGAGUUGUCUAGCAAAACAGACUCCCCAGCUAAGAUUGAAAUGCAUGUUUUAAGCAAAAAUUAAGGUAAAUGAAAGCUGAUGUGAACAGUGAUUCAACUGCAACUACUUAUAUUCCAAUUCAUGAAAAAAGACGGAGUUUAGAAAGAAAAUAAUUUGUUCUUGAGGUAAGCUCUUAAACAAGGUUCUUCUAGGCCCUUUGCUGCUUUAUAUCUUUGCCUUUGUAAAACGCCAUGAUAUUAUUCAAAAAUUGCUCCAAGGAUGAUAAAGGUUGAAUUAGCAUUAUAUUUUUGAUGAUUCUUUUGUGGUUGUUGGUAUUUGUGAUGACUUAUAUGAGGGCUUACUUGAUUCAAAUAUGUAAUUCUGAUUCAUUAUUUUGUUUGUUAAAAUACCCAAAGGUUAACCAAGUCCCUUUUGCAGUCACUUUUUGGCUUCCAUGGAAUAAAGGUAAUUAAAGUUAAAACUUAUUUGUCUUCUUCGCGUGUUCUGAUUCACUCUACCAUAAAUCAUGUGUCGCUGCACAUGUUUUAAAAAGUAGUGCUUGAGAUGACUAUUCAGAUCACGGUUUAUUGUAUUCAGUUUGUAGAAUACAAAACAAGAUCCUCUAACCCAUCUUAGGUAACUCUUCCUUAAUAUCUCCUCUUUGUUGCGUAUGUAGCUUAUGAUUGUCGCAUGCAGCAUAUACGUUGCCCUCUAUAAGGUAUUCUGGAGUAUUUAUUUUGUGUUUCAUGCAUUUACACUAAGGUGAGAAGUCAUAUUAGGAACUUCCUUUCUAAGCCUCUGAAAAUUGUUUUAUAUCAUACAUUACUGGAAUGAACUCUUUUUCCCUAUUUGUCGUCUGUGGAAUAUUCCAAUAUGUUCCUAUUAGGCUGCAUUUGAUCCUGAUUAUAUUAUUCGCUACAGUUUCAUGAUUUCCACUGCCAACUUGAGCGAAACUAUUUGGUCAAAGGAGAUAAUAUCAAUCUGCAAAGUUGGAUGUCAAACAUUGUGUUUCCCAAUCUCAAGAAUGUUAAAAUUACCACCUGCAUAACACAUUGUUUGAAAGAGGCGAUAAGCUUUUUGAACUUUCAGAGUUUCUACUAAGGAAGGCAAUGACUUGAAGAAGUCCGUUAUCAUAUCAAAGAUGAGAAUCUGCUGGAAAUGUUCAGAACAAUUUGUUUCCCAAUAUUUAUCACAAAUCGUAUCCAAGAGUCUUGUUCACGAGUAUUUA